Molecule: ribosomal RNA, 732 nt
Filed under: uncultured Rhizophagus
Lineage: Eukaryota; Fungi; Glomeromycota; Glomeromycetes; Glomerales; Glomeraceae
Description: SSU rRNA
Rfam family: Eukaryotic small subunit ribosomal RNA
Source: RNAcentral
GGUAGGAUAGAGGCCUACCAUGGUGGUAACGGGUAACGGGGUGUUAGGGCACGACACCGGAGAGGGAGCCUGAGAAACGGCUACCACAUCCAAGGAUGGCAGCAGGCGCGCAAAUUACCCAAUCCCGACACGGGGAGGUAGUGACAAUAAAUAACAAUACGGGGUUCUUUCGGAUUUCGUAAUUGGAAUGAGUACAAUUUAAAUCUCUUAACGAGGAACAAUUGGAGGGCAAGUCUGGUGCCAGCAGCCGCGGUAAUUCCAGCUCCAAUAGCGUAUAUUAAAGUUGUUGCAGUUAAAAAGCUCGUAGUUGAAUUUCGGGGUCAGUAGAUUGGUCGUGCCACUGGUAUGUACUGGUCUUACUGGUUCCUCCUUCCUGAUGAACCGUAAUGCCAUUAAUUUGGUGUUGCGGGGAGACUGGACUGUUACUUUGAAAAAAUUAGAGUGUUUAAAGCAGGCUAACGCUUGAAUACAUUAGCAUGGAAUAAUGAAAUAGGACGUUCGAUCUUAUUUUGUUGGUUUCUAGGAUUGACGUAAUGAUUAAUAGGGAUAGUUGGGGGCAUUAGUAUUCAAUUGUCAGAGGUGAAAUUCUUGGAUUUAUUGAAGACUAACUACUGCGAAAGCAUUUGCCAAGGAUGUUUUCAUUAAUCAAGAACGAAAGUUAGGGGAUCGAAGACGAUCAGAUACCGUCGUAGUCUUAACCAUAAACUAUGCCGACUAGGGAUCGGAUGAUGU